AUGCAGUCGAACGCGUUGGCCCAAUUGAUUGAUGGUGCUUGCACCUGAUUGAUUUUGGUCGCCAACGAGUGGCGGACGGGUGAGUAACACGUAGGUAACCUGCCCAGAAGCGGGGGACAACAUUUGGAAACAGAUGCUAAUACCGCAUAACAGCGUUGUUCGCAUGAACAACGCUUAAAAGAUGGCUUCUCGCUAUCACUUCUGGAUGGACCUGCGGUGCAUUAGCUUGUUGGUGGGGUAACGGCCUACCAAGGCGAUGAUGCAUAGCCGAGUUGAGAGACUGAUCGGCCACAAUGGGACUGAGACACGGCCCAUACUCCUACGGGAGGCAGCAGUAGGGAAUCUUCCACAAUGGGCGCAAGCCUGAUGGAGCAACACCGCGUGAGUGAAGAAGGGUUUCGGCUCGUAAAGCUCUGUUGUUAAAGAAGAACACGUAUGAGAGUAACUGUUCAUACGUUGACGGUAUUUAACCAGAAAGUCACGGCUAACUACGUGCCAGCAGCCGCGGUAAUACGUAGGUGGCAAGCGUUAUCCGGAUUUAUUGGGCGUAAAGAGAGUGCAGGCGGUUUUCUAAGUCUGAUGUGAAAGCCUUCGGCUUAACCGGAGAAGUGCAUCGGAAACUGGAUAACUUGAGUGCAGAAGAGGGUAGUGGAACUCCAUGUGUAGCGGUGGAAUGCGUAGAUAUAUGGAAGAACACCAGUGGCGAAGGCGGCUACCUGGUCUGCAACUGACGCUGAGACUCGAAAGCAUGGGUAGCGAACAGGAUUAGAUACCCUGGUAGUCCAUGCCGUAAACGAUGAGUGCUAGGUGUUGGAGGGUUUCCGCCCUUCAGUGCCGGAGCUAACGCAUUAAGCACUCCGCCUGGGGAGUACGACCGCAAGGUUGAAACUCAAAGGAAUUGACGGGGGCCCGCACAAGCGGUGGAGCAUGUGGUUUAAUUCGAAGCUACGCGAAGAACCUUACCAGGUCUUGACAUCUUGCGCCAACCCUAGAGAUAGGGCGUUUCCUUCGGGAACGCAAUGACAGGUGGUGCAUGGUCGUCGUCAGCUCGUGUCGUGAGAUGUUGGGUUAAGUCCCGCAACGAGCGCAACCCUUGUUACUAGUUGCCAGCAUUAAGUUGGGCACUCUAGUGAGACUGCCGGUGACAAACCGGAGGAAGGUGGGGACGACGUCAGAUCAUCAUGCCCCUUAUGACCUGGGCUACACACGUGCUACAAUGGACGGUACAACGAGUCGCGAACUCGCGAGGGCAAGCAAAUCUCUUAAAACCGUUCUCAGUUCGGACUGCAGGCUGCAACUCGCCUGCACGAAGUCGGAAUCGCUAGUAAUCGCGGAUCAGCAUGCCGCGGUGAAUACGUUCCCGGGCCUUGUACACACCGCCCGUCACACCAUGAGAGUUUGUAACACCCAAAGUCGGUGGGGUAACCUUUUAGGAGCCAGC
This 1441-nucleotide ribosomal RNA is filed under the name Limosilactobacillus fermentum. Its description in RNAcentral is "bacterial SSU rRNA". It matches the Rfam family "Bacterial small subunit ribosomal RNA". Lineage: Bacteria; Bacillati; Bacillota; Bacilli; Lactobacillales; Lactobacillaceae. The record is from RNAcentral.